RNAcentral lists this ribosomal RNA (305 nucleotides) under uncultured bacterium. Its description in RNAcentral is "bacterial SSU rRNA". It matches the Rfam family "Bacterial small subunit ribosomal RNA", at positions 334 to 637 of the family's 1533-position model. The record is from RNAcentral.
UGGCCCUACGGGGCGCAGCAGUGAGGAAUAUUGGUCAAUGGGCGGGAGCCUGAACCAGCCAAGUCGCGUGAAGGAAGAAGGUACUUAGUAUUGUAAACUUCUUUUGUCGGGGAACAAAGGCGGAGACGCGUCUCCGGAUGAGUGUACCCGAAGAAAAAGCAUCGGCUAACUCCGUGCCAGCAGCCGCGGUAAUACGGAGGAUGCGAGCGUUAUCCGGAUUUAUUAGGUUUAAAGGGUGCGUAGGCGGUCCGUUAAGUCAGCGGUAAAAUUGCGGGGCUCAACCCCGUCGAGCCGUUGAAACUGGC